AGGACGAACGCUGGCGGCGUGCUUAACACAUGCAAGUCGAACGGGGCACUUCGGUGCUUAGUGGCGAACGGGUGAGUAACACGUGAACAACCUGCCCUUGGCUCUGGGAUAGCCUCCGGAAACGGGGAUUAAUACCGGACAGGACCCUGGUCUGCAUGGACCGGGGUGGAAAGUUUUUCGGCCAGGGAGGGGCUCGCGGCCUAUCAGCUUGUUGGAGGGGUAACGGCCCACCAAGGCGACGACGGGUAGCC
RNAcentral lists this ribosomal RNA (251 nucleotides) under uncultured bacterium. RNAcentral describes it as "partial small subunit ribosomal RNA". It matches the Rfam family "Bacterial small subunit ribosomal RNA", at positions 26 to 288 of the family's 1533-position model. The record is from RNAcentral.